Molecule: unclassified non-coding RNA, 212 nt
Filed under: plant metagenome
Description: partial contains small subunit ribosomal RNA, internal transcribed spacer 1, and 5.8S ribosomal RNA
Source: RNAcentral
UCUCCGUUGGUGAACCAGCGGAGGGAUCAUUACCGAGUGCAAACUCAUAACCCUUUGUGAACCUAUAGCUGUUGCUUCGGGGGCUCGCUCGCGUGCGAGCCCGCCGGUAAUAUCAGUACCUCUGUUUGAACCCGACGAUACUUCUGAGUGUUCUUAGCGUACAGUUAAAACUUUUAACAACGGAUCUCUUGGCUCUAGCAUCGAUGAGGUAC